Pelobates cultripes (western spadefoot toad) is the source of this 278-nucleotide non-coding RNA. Lineage: Eukaryota; Metazoa; Chordata; Amphibia; Anura; Pelobatidae. The record is from the annotation of a GenBank genome assembly.
GUCCGGUUGAGUCGAUCAGAGUGGCAGAUUACCCUAUCCCCUUAAUAAUAGAGUCCCCUACCACCACAACCUGUCUAGACUUCCUUAUCCUCUCAACCCCACCCGUACUAGAGGGGCUGUUUCCACGGCGGUUCACUUGUUUGAUACGCAUUAGGGCAGUAGCAGCGUUGGUCUCCGUACCCAAAGGUUCAAACGUUAGUUUAAAUUCCAUAAGGAAUUCCAAGUAAUUAUGGGCAAUAGACUUAUUACUCUCCCAUAAUGGAUUGGCCCAUGCUAAG